ACCUGCGAAGGAUCCAUG
Molecule: ribosomal RNA, 18 nt
Filed under: Perezia lactucoides
Lineage: Eukaryota; Viridiplantae; Streptophyta; Magnoliopsida; Asterales; Asteraceae
Description: partial 18S ribosomal RNA
Source: RNAcentral